UCACCUAUACACGUACCUCAUUCCCCAUUCAUUGACCGCUGAAUGUUUUUUAUUUAAUGUCAUCUAGACAACAAUAAACCCUAUCCCAACUGUAGGCCUUCUCUUUUCAAUCAUGCCAACACGGAGCCUCCAAAUGGGUUAUGGUAUUGCAAAAGUGAUACUGAAAGAAAUGGGCCUACUCACCUUCAUUAGAGGUGGCAACUUGACGCGGCUGACUUGUGGAGGAGGCUGAUUCAGAAACCCGUUGCUGGUUGCCCGGAGGCUGUGUCUGCAGUCGGUUCCAGCGUGUAUGGAAGCCGAUGAUGAAUCGUUAUCUCCGGGCGGUGUGUGGGUUGUCCGUGUAAUAAAGUAGGGACCAGAAGCGGAGACAAUAGGAAUUUGUCACAGUUUGGUUCUCGACAUUUUCGGCGACCUGUCCCCCUCCCCAUGGGUGUAAGAUGUUUUGGAUGACUUGGAUAGAUUUGCAAACAACUGUGCCAUUGUUUGCAAAAUAGGAAAAGAGUUAUAGGUUACGUCCAAUAUCAACAAUAAAUACAUUUUGACAAUACUUAAUACUAAUAUUACAAUAGAUGGAUGCAUGUAUGCAUCAACACGUGUCACAUUUCCCAAAAUAUGUAGCCUAUUAAAAAAAGGGAUGUAGGUGUGUUUUGAAGGCCAUGUCUGAGUCUGAACGUUAUUGUCUCUAAAAUGUUGUUAGCUGAGUGAAAACCAUUGCACAGAGUAAUGGGACUGUGGGUGGUUUAUAUAAAGAUUGGCUACCGUGUAAAUUGUUGUCAAUAAAAAUAUUGAGACACAUUA
This is a long non-coding RNA of Alosa sapidissima (American shad), 798 nucleotides long. RefSeq lists it as uncharacterized. The transcript is spliced from 2 exons. Lineage: Eukaryota; Metazoa; Chordata; Actinopteri; Clupeiformes; Clupeidae. The record is from RefSeq and is a predicted model, not a curated record.